CUCAACCGCAAGGAGGGGGAUGCCUAAGGCAGGGCUAGUGACUGGGGUGAAGUCGUAACAAGGUAACCGUACCGGAAGGUGUGGCUGGAUCACCUCCUUA
Molecule: ribosomal RNA, 100 nt
Filed under: Microcystis sp. K112-u
Lineage: Bacteria; Bacillati; Cyanobacteriota; Cyanophyceae; Chroococcales; Microcystaceae
Description: partial 16S ribosomal RNA
Rfam family: Bacterial small subunit ribosomal RNA
Source: RNAcentral